GGGACAAAGGAAACCGCAGGCACGAGGAGUCAAAAAAGUGUCCCCGAGGGAGAGGCGCCCAGGCCAGGGAUGCAAAGAGCCGGCCCAGCCCCGAGGAAGCAGCGAAGGGAGCUGCAGAUCUCAAAGCUUCUCAUAAGGGAAGGCGAGCAUCAUUAUCCCCAGUGUAAAGGACGUGAUUUGCCCGUGAUCACACAGCAGAUCUGUGGCUGAGCCAGGAGUAGAAACCCAAUCUCCUGAGUCCCAGACCAGCAUCCUAAACCAUGCUGCCUCCCAACUGCCUCUGCAGCUCUGGUACUGAUGCUGUGCUUGUAGUGAGGUCUCUGUGGCGCAAUGGACGAGCGCGCUGGACUUCUAAUCCAGAGGUUCCGGGUUCGAGUCCCGGCAGAGAUGAUCUCCAGGCAGGUGUCUUUUAUUUUGCACUCACUCAGUUAUUGGCCAACCCAGCCUGGGGGCAGGAUGUGGAGCUGCACAAAACUGCAUCUGGGGUUUGCAGUGAGACCAGCCUCCCGGAGAGUUAUCAAGACAGCUGACACCUGGUUUAGGUGGUCCUCCCAGUGACUACUGCAGAUUAGUAUGUCGUCCAGGGCCUGUCCAGCGGGUGACCUCGUAUGGCCCCUGCCAGCAAGCCAUCAGCUUCGACUCAGCUGAAGGGAGCAAGACAAGUACUCGGUCCCCUGGCUCGAAAAUCCGCUCUCGCAAAUGGUGAGAUUGUAGCCUUGUGCUUGGGCCUUUUGGGCGACUUGGAGGUUCUCCUAGGCAAGGAUCCCAGCCUGGGCAAGGCACUCUUGGAGCUUAAACACAUACUGAAGCAACCCUUCAGCAUGGAACAGGGUCUGUUCCCAUGUCUCCCACCUGAGAUCCAUCAGGCCUUGAGGCUGGAGGCUGUAUAGGAGCUCGAAAGGCGAAAAUUUGGUGGACGCCUGUGGCACCUUCCGAAUAGCAAGCAGCAGGUGGGGGGUGAGCUGAUCCCAAUGGUGGAGCUCCUCAGGGGGGAAUUUCCAAAGCAUAUUCUUUAGUGCCUGGUUAAACUGUUCCACCAACCCAUCUCUUUGCAGGUGGUAGACGGAAGUCUGGAGCUUUUUGAUCUCCAGAAGAGCACACACCUCCCGGAGGAGCCAGGAGGUAAAGUUCGUCCCCUGAUUGGAGAGUAAUUCCUGGGGCAGGGCCUCUCAGGCAAAGAUUUUGAUAAACUCUGCUGCUACAGUACGGGCUGUGGCACUUCUCAGGGGGAUGGCCUCAGGAACCCAGGUGGCAUAGUCCAGGACUACCAGGAUAUACCGGAAUCCGGCGGCGCUCUUAACCAGAGGCCCCACCAAGUCCACGGCUACCCUUUCAAAAGGGGUUCCCACCAGCAGGAGAGGGACCUUGCUCGCAUUCCAGGCAGGAGGUACAGUGGUCCUUAGUGUCACAGUGUACACCUGGCCAAAAGAAAUGGGACAGAACCCGGGCCAGUGUCUUCUCCAGUCUGAGGUGGCCGGCCACCAGGACAUCGUGCGCCAGCCUUAACAUGGCUCAUCUAUGGCAUCGAGGGAUCAGCAGCUGGGACCGGGUCUAGCAGAUCCUGGGGUCCAGCUCGACUUGGUACAGCCGAUCCUGAGUGAGCUCAAACCAAGGCCACUGAUUGGCCCUCUGUGCAUCUACCAUGACCCCAUCCACGAAGGACAGCUGCUCAUAGGCAUGCUUCAGUUUGGGGUCAUCCCUUUGAUCCUGGCAAAAGUCUGUUGCCAUGUCUAGCCGCAUAUCUGCCCCAUUGGGAGGGAUUGGUGUGCCAUUGUCCCUGGCAGUCUGAUCCUCUGGUGGACCGAGGCCCGGUUCCCCUAACUCCAUCUCCGUGUUGUCAGGGGUGUCCCCCUUGAAGUCACUUAGGUCUGGUUCCUCAGUCUCCACCUCCAUAUCAUCGGGAACUGUCUGAAUAGGGGUUCCUUGGCGACCGACAGUUUGCAUCACCUGGUGGAACCCAGGCCAGGGAUAGGGCAGCACUGGAGCGACACCCGUGUGCAUUCCCUAUGUUAGUCUGGCCACUGUCAGUGUCACCUGGGCUGUGGGGUAGACCUUUAUGUUUCCAUCGCUGCAGCGAAGGCUAAUCUGACCUCGUAUCUGGUCAGGGACUGGGAUCAGCCACCAGCAUACCAUAGUCUGUCCACACCCCAAGUCAACUCGGGUUUCUAGGUGCCACUUGCCCAGGAUCACCGGGAUUGUCAGCUUGGGGCCAAGGUGCUGGCAAGCGCAGGUAUCUCUGGUGCACAUCUGGCCGUAGGAUCUGAUCCUCACAGGCCAUUGGUCCUGUAAUGGCCCAAACUGGCUGUCAUCACAAGGCAGGCCUAGCCUUGCAAUCAGCCCAGGGCUGAAGGACGGUACCACAUGGCCAGGGCUUCCUGCUGCUAGGAAGUCCCCCAACAACUGUACCGCUGCAGCCAGAGUGGGGGACUGGUGUCGCAGGACCCAGGUUUGGCCAUGGGGUCCCAGUCUCUGCAGCAGUCACUGCUGCCGCUGGAACAGAGUGACUUGUUGUCUCUGCUGGUUCUCAGCCCACUGUCUCACCAGCUGGCCCCAAUCCAUGGUGGUCUGGCUGGCCCCAAUCUGGGCUCUGGCUGCUGACCCGGGUGGGUUGCAACAGUCUAUUCACCCAACCCUUAGAACCAUUUUAGCACCAGACAUUCCAUAAAAAGGGGAUUCUUUUUUCUUGCUCUGUCUCUGGUGGUCUGUGUCCUGUCUUUCCUUUCCCCUUGGUUUUCCAGUUGCUUGUGUCCCUGCUCCUCCAUUCUCCUCUCUCCUAUAAUGUGUCCAUAUUGGUCUCAAUCUCCACCCUUUCUUCCUGUUGUGUUAAUUUGGAUGGAAUAAAUGGGCCCAGGGAGUCAAAGGAAUUAAUGUGAUCCCUGUCACUAUACAACACUAGACAGUUAAACAAGACUCAGGUUUUAGAGAGGCCUCAGCCUGCUUAGUCUCGUGGCAAACGCACUGUUAAAAAUCUUUUUAACCUUUUAUUAAAAAUACAGAUAAAGAAAGAAAAACAGUUAAAGCCUUCGGAAUGUCAAGUAUUAAGUAAGGCUUUUAUUUUAACAACAUCCCCUUAUUUCUCUUCCAUCUAGCUUGAGAGAGAUUUUUGGAAGCGAAAAGAAACCCCUGUCUGACAAUCUCUUGGAUGGUAUUACAGAUAGUAAUAGCUGUCCUUUUGGGGAGGAGAGAGAAAUUAUUUGAGAUGGGCUGGAGCUGCUGCUGCUGUUGUUAAAGUCCAAUCCCAUUUCCUAGAUGACAAAUCAAGACAAAUGGACACAAGAGGGGAGAGAAAAGACCAACAAAUAUAGAAAAUGCAGCUUCUGUCUCUGGUGCUAACGCUAACUCUCACUUGCAGCCUCACUGUUGGAGAAACACAGGCCCAGCCCAUGAUCUGUGUCAAGCUGUCCUAUAGUGGCUGAAGAGGGUGAGUACCAACCUCGGCGCAGACAGUUAAGAAUCAGGGCACAAACUUAAAAGUGGUUGUGAGUUCUAUACUUUUAUUUCACUAAUCAAGUAUCAAGUGUGAACUCCUCAAGCACUAUAACAGACAAUCCCCUUGGUACUCCUCUCUAUCUUACCACAUAGGCAAGCUUGCCUUUGUGACAGAUGGUCCUUUAUACCAAAAAUCACAACAAUAUUGAGAUUCCUCCCAGUUCCCAAGGACCAGUCACUUACCCCAGGUCAGUUGCAUCUUAGAGCUUACAUCAAAGACAACACUUGUAGCCAAUCCUAUAAUAAACUAUCUAAAAGUGUAUUCACCUUUGUCACCUUUGUGCAACUUGUCCUCGUCCGUCCCUCCGCAAACUCAAGUCGACGCCUCACCACUCCGUUCUGUCGCGAGCACAUUCUUCCAAUUUCUGGCCAAAGAGUUUUGUCAUGGGAUCAGCCCAGCACAUUUUCGGUCUGCCCAGCAGUUGCUUGUGGUCUCUGGGGAUCCAGUCACUGAUGCGGGUUGUCCACCUAUUGUCUUACCUAUGGACUACAUGACCCACCCAUCUUUACUUUGCAUUGUACAUUGCCUUGCACUACAUCGAUCACCUCUGUAUGCCUUCUGAUCUCCUCAUUCAGUAUGCGAUCACGGAGUGAUAUCUUACACAUUCGCCUUUCCAUUGCUCUCUGGAUGACGGCAAAUUUUUCUUCCUUCACUUUCGUCGUUGACCAGCUUUCUCCUCCAUAUAUCACUGCUGGCAAAACAGUGGAGUUAAACAGUUCUUUCCUUUUCUUCUGUCCGAUCACACUCCUCUCACAAGUGUAUAUAGUCUUCACCCGCGUCAUAUUCAAUCGGAUUAAGAAGAAUCUUGAAAUGUACGAAAGGCGAGAACAAGCUGGUUUCUGCUCAGGGUAUUGGACAAUUGAUCACAUCCACUCAGUUCGAAAAAUUGAAAAAUGCAAGGAAUACAAAGUACCAUUUUGUAUUGCAUUUGUCAACUACAAAAAGGCAUUCAACCCAGUAGAGGUUAACGCUGUACUCAGCACGCUCAAUGAAAUCGGAAUUGACCCAAGGUACAUUGACCUGCUGGAAGAAAUUAACCACAAUUGCUUGACAGAGAUAACAUUAUUCAGUGUUCCCUGCAUUAUUACUAUACACAGAGGAGUCAGACAAGGCGACACAAUCUCACUGAAGCUAUGUGCAGCAGUAUUGCAGUUGCUGUUCAAGAAAUUGAACAGGGAAGAAGGAAUCAGAAUUGAUGGGGACCAGUUAACACAUCUUCUCUUUGCUGACGACUGUGUAAUACUGGCAAAGGACACAGCAGAACUGGAGAACAAAUUGCAGAACUGCAAACACUUCCACAUGAUAUCGGGUUGGAAGUGAACAUGUCGAAGAUGAAGUGGAUGCAGAAUGAGCAUUGGGCAGAAGGAAUCAUCACUGUAAACGGGAAAGAAAUCUCGACAAAUAUAUUUACCUGGGUCAGCAGCUGAGCAGAGACAACUUAUUCGAAGGGGAAUGAAAUAGGAGACAAAAGGCAGAGUGGUCAAGUUUCAACAAAAUAAAGACAUCUCUAACAGAUGAUGAACUGCCCAUUAAGAAAAGAUUUAUUAACUAAGAAAAAGAAAUGAGUUAUUUACAAGGUUAAAGCAGGUAAACACACACACACACGAGUUACAGUUUUAGGUUCCAAAAGGUGGUAGAAGCUUCUAUAAUGGGCAAGCUCUGUAUGUCCUUUAGGGCCAGCCCAGGCCGAGCAUGAGGGAACUUUUGCUUAUGCUUAAUAA
Molecule: long non-coding RNA, 5211 nt
Organism: Dermochelys coriacea (leatherback sea turtle)
Lineage: Eukaryota; Metazoa; Chordata; Testudines; Dermochelyidae
Exons: 6
Source: RefSeq, a predicted model, not a curated record